GUGCUUGCUUUGGCAGCACAUAUACUAAAAUUGCAAAGGUUCAGAGAGAUUAGCAUGGCCCCUGUGCAAGGAUGAUAACAUGCAAAUUCGUGAAGCAUUCCAUAAUUUU
Small nuclear RNA from Monodelphis domestica (gray short-tailed opossum), 109 nucleotides. NCBI's taxonomy places the organism in Eukaryota, Metazoa, Chordata, Mammalia, Didelphimorphia, Didelphidae. The record is from Ensembl.